UGGGGAAUAUUGCGCAAUGGGCGAAAGCCUGACGCAGCGACGCCGCGUGAGGGAUGAAGGUCUUCGGAUCGUAAACUUCUAUCAGCAGGGAAGACAAUGACGGUACCUGACUAAGAAGCCCCGGCUAACUCCGUGCCAGCAGCCGCGGUAAUACGGAGGGUGCGAGCGUUAAUCGGAAUUACUGGGCGUAAAGCGCUCGUAGGUAGUAUAUCAAGUCAAGGGUGAAAUCCCCGCGCUCAACGUGGGAACUGCCUUUGAAACUGGUAGACUUGAGUGUGUGAGAGGAUAGUGGAAUUCCAGGUGUAGGAGUGAAAUCCGUAGAUAUCUGGAGGAACAUCAGUGGCGAAGGCGACUAUCUGGCACAUAACUGACACUGAGGAGCGAAAGCGUGGGUAGCAAACAGGAUUAGAUACC
Molecule: ribosomal RNA, 414 nt
Filed under: uncultured bacterium
Lineage: Bacteria
Description: bacterial SSU rRNA
Rfam family: Bacterial small subunit ribosomal RNA
Source: RNAcentral